This 537-nucleotide long non-coding RNA is filed under the name Olea europaea subsp. europaea. The record is from RNAcentral. Lineage: Eukaryota; Viridiplantae; Streptophyta; Magnoliopsida; Lamiales; Oleaceae.
AAAUGACAAAAAGAGAAUCCUAAUUGUUUGUGCCGCUUGUUUAGUACUAGGAGUAACAGUCCAAGUAAAACUGGUGUUAUUAGUAGAUGUAGGAAUUACAAUUUGGUAGGGCUUUGGGUGAAACUAUUUUAAAGCAAAAGCUAUUUUAUUAGUGAACACAGUCUUGGUAACAUCAUGUAUUCUUUCACUACCUAACCUAGUUUCUGGAGUUUUUCUUCAAUGGAUAAAACUAUUGAUUCUUGCCACCAAAACAUGAGAUGGCAUAUGUUUCCAUUGUAUGUGUUCUUGGCCUUGUUUGAGCAUUGUUCUGACGCCUUCAUUUCUUUCAACAUGUGUUAAGAUGGGUCAACUUUCAGGCAUUUAUGUUUCAGAAUUUAUCUUCUAGUAUUGAAUACUUUGUAUUUGCGGUUCACAGUGUUGUGUUCUAAGAAUCUCUCUUCUAAUAUCAAAUACUCUGCUAAGAUGUAUCUUAAUUUUUGUUUGUUUGGUCUUGAGUUAUGGCAACAACGGUUGUGUGUGAUGAAUUUCCAUUUUUUU